RNAcentral lists this ribosomal RNA (397 nucleotides) under uncultured bacterium. RNAcentral describes it as "bacterial SSU rRNA". It matches the Rfam family "Bacterial small subunit ribosomal RNA", at positions 975 to 1375 of the family's 1533-position model. The record is from RNAcentral.
CAGGGCUUGCAUGGGGAGGACGUACUCAGAGAUGGGUAUUUCUUCGGACCUCCCGCACAGGUGCUGCAUGGCUGUCGUCAGCUCGUGUCGUGAGAUGUUGGGUUAAGUCCCGCAACGAGCGCAACCCUUGUCUUUAGUUGCCAGCACUUUCAGGUGGGCACUCUAGAGAGACUGCCGGUGACAAGCCGGAGGAAGGUGGGGAUGACGUCAAGUCCUCAUGGCCCUUAUGUCCUGGGCUACACACGUGCUACAAUGGCGGUGACAGUGGGAAGCUAUGUGGUGACACAGUGCUGAUCUCUAAAAGCCGUCUCAGUUCGGAUUGUACUCUGCAACUCGAGUACAUGAAGGUGGAAUCGCUAGUAAUCGCGGAUCAGCAUGCCGCGGUGAAUACGUUCCC